UUCACGAAGUGACGGUAGUGAGGAAAAUCGCAUACAUUUUCACUUUUGAUUUUUUUGCAUUUUUGGACAUCAUUCACUAACAUCUUGAACCUCACAAAAUUUCAGAUCAUAAUAAUGUCUAAUUAUGUCGCUAUGACGAUGACGUAAACAAGAAAAUGCAUAGCAAAAGGAUUUUCUGUUUUCACGAAGUGACGGCCAAGUACGCGCUUAACAGCCGUCAAUUCGUGAAAACAUCGUUUGCUCUUUUCCUGCUUUUAAUAUUUUCACGAAGUGACGGUAGUGAAAAUUUCGCAGUUUGGAACAGUCACAGACCAUGAAAAGUUUCAGAUGCAGUAGAUACAAUUUGCACUUAUAUGAAGGAUGCACUGGGAAAGUACAUCUACUUUUCAAGAAUGCCACAGGCCAGACACAAAUCCAGAUUGGAUACAGGGACCGACAUGCUGGUAAGAUGGGUCCUUGAUAAUUCACUGAACACAGAGCUGCAGAUGUGACUCGGCAUAGUGACCUAAGAGUGGGAGCGGUAUGGAACCGUUGAAGCAAUUCACCGAACACUGUUGAAGCAAUUCACCGAACACAGUCAGAGCUGCAUGUGUGACUUGGCAUGGUGACCCUUAAAGUCUCCUGACGGCUCCGAUUGCGAUUCUGAUGAUGACCCAUUGUCUAUGCUUGUGAGCGAGUCAAAAGCAGUCUAGAUCAAGGAUCUUCUCUGCUUCAACCACUAUCGCUUGGAUGACAUUAUGUGUGAAGAAACUUGAAGGACUUGUGUUGAAGGGCAUGCUUGAGAAACUAGAAUCAAUUACAUUGAUCGUUUUGUCAAUGCUUCAAUGUUUCAAUACCUCAAUCUCUCUUUUAUACUGUUUGAUUUUAAACAUUUUGAAUAUCAUAAAUAAAGCAAACUCUACUCAUAAUUGUAAUUGUGUGUACUAGUAAUUACAAUGAAAUGGAUUGAUUAUAAAAUCAAUGAAUUGAUUUAAAGCAAACUGGUAAUAUUUUCCAUGAGUUCUGAAACAAUUAACUGAAUGGUCGUACAGGUGUCAGUUUUCUGUUACAGUAUUAUAAUGAACUCCUGCAAACAUAAAUCUUUAAUAUUCAAAUGUAUAGCUCAGAACUGCUAUUUAUCAGGUAUACCUACCUCGAUCAGUAAUGCAUAUUAGAGUUUUCGAUUCCAGUUCCAUGAAUCCUCAUAUUGUAUCUUUGUAUUGAAGAAUUUGUUUGUCCAUUCUUUAAAUGUUUGUAUUCACAGGGGUUGAUGCCUUCAUUAGAACAUGAAUAUAAGUUACAUUUCAACAAUUGGUUUUUCUCUCAAAACUCAAUGUUACUAGUUCACAUUUAAUGUUUUAAUUUAUUACUUCUAUAGUCAUUCUCAUCAUAAUUGUAUUUGGUACUUCAAACUAUCCUAUAAUGAUCAUACAAUAUAAUGUUGCUGUUUUGAAUUGUAUCUGUUUGAUGAGAAAUGAAAUUGUUUAGUCAAAUUGAUAUUUCCAUGUUUAUCAUGCAUUGUUUAGCUGAUAAUAGUUAAGUCAGAGAUUACGUGUUUACCUGGGUGAAGACAACCUUUAAGCAUUGGUAAACUUUGUAGCGUUCUGAUACUCUACUCACAAGAUAUUUAUGAAAAACAGUGAUGAACAAAAAAGUAACGAUGAUGAUUAUAUUAGUCAUUUUCCCAUUGAAAAACUUCAUGAUACAUGUAGUACAUGUUUGUCGAGCAUUUUGUAUGUCACAUGUGGCAUUUACUCGCUACGAUUGCUGAAUAAACAUGAUAACCAAGUCGUAUAUAAAGAAUUAGAUAAAGACAUUUUAGCAUAUUUACAAGUACUGUAUAAUGAAUGAAAUAACCUUCGUAUUCCGUGGAUGUAUAUAACUGAUGAGUCUUUUCCACAAAACCCUAAUUGUACAUUUUAAAAUGCAAUACAGUAUUGAUGAUAAUUGAUGAUGAUAUGUUUGGUAUGAAUUAUUUAAUAUUUUUGAAUUUAUGCUCCAUUUUCCACUUGCUGUUCUGGUUCCAAAUGUUUGAAUUAAAACUGCUCAGUCAAAAUUCA
Strongylocentrotus purpuratus (purple sea urchin) is the source of this 2039-nucleotide long non-coding RNA. RefSeq lists it as uncharacterized. The transcript has 4 exons. The record is from RefSeq and is a predicted model, not a curated record. NCBI's taxonomy places the organism in Eukaryota, Metazoa, Echinodermata, Echinoidea, Camarodonta, Strongylocentrotidae.